This 891-nucleotide long non-coding RNA is filed under the name Erythranthe guttata (spotted monkey flower). Its description in RNAcentral is "long non-coding RNA (EGUT_LNC002952)". The record is from RNAcentral. Lineage: Eukaryota; Viridiplantae; Streptophyta; Magnoliopsida; Lamiales; Phrymaceae.
AAAAUAUAGUUAAGGAAAACACUCUCCUGAAAAUAAUUAGAGAAAACCCCUUUUGUUGUUAGUUUGGAUAAUUAAUAAAGGUAAUCUCUCAAUUAUACCCUUACUUUUAACCCUAAAUUUUGACAUAUCAUAUUCCGCCGUUGUUAUUUCUUUUAUUUUCCUUUUCCCUCAUCUCUUCUCUCUGCUUUCUGCUCUCUUCUCUCGUUCUUUCUUCUCUCUCUCUCUCUUUUUUUUUUCUUCUCGAUCUGCUUCUUCUCUUCUCGAUCAUAAUUCGGCCGAUACUGUAAAAUACUGCUCCGAUGAAUAUUGUGUGAAGAACUGCUGCAACCAUCAUAAUUGGACAUAUUGGGGUGGAGCUCUGGCUGGCAACGACGAAGUUUCGGCUCGACGAUAUGAAGACCCCGUCAAACAAGCUGUUGCAGAUGCGGUUUGUUUUGUUAAAUCGAUUGAUUUGUUUUUAUUUUAAAUUCAUCAUCUCCAUUAAAAUUUUAUUUUGAAUACUCUGCAACAUAAAUUUUUGUGAGUAGAAACUGAUGGAGUAAUUAAUUACUGUUUGUUUUAUUAUAAUUUUAUCUGUCGAAGAAAUCACGUUUCCCAAACAACACGCAUACUAUUUGAGGAUUUUCUACAACAUCAUGAAUAGUGUGGUGUGGCGGCGGUGUGGUGACGAUGGGGAGGCAGAUUAAGGGUUUUUUGUUGAAUCGGGUGGAUAACAGCGCAUAUAGAGAAAUUCGCGCAUGCUGGAAUCUUAAUCGACUAUGUACAUGUUCAUUAAUAGUCGAUUAAGCUAAUCGACUAUGCUCUGGUAGUCGAUUAAGGUUGAUCAACUCCAAUUUUUUUUUUGAUUUUUUGUUUAUUGAUUCCAAUUGUAUAAAUCAAUUACAAUGUUGG